This is a long non-coding RNA of Ochotona curzoniae (black-lipped pika), 102 nucleotides long. RefSeq lists it as uncharacterized. Lineage: Eukaryota; Metazoa; Chordata; Mammalia; Lagomorpha; Ochotonidae. The transcript has 5 exons. The record is from RefSeq and is a predicted model, not a curated record.
GUGCUUGGAGUAGGGGAAAAAAGGAAUUCUACAGUAAAGGAUGAAGCUGCAGCAGAUGCACCUGACUUGAGACAGGGACGGAGGCACCCACGCUGGGCUGGG